Molecule: long non-coding RNA, 3650 nt
Organism: Alligator mississippiensis (American alligator)
Lineage: Eukaryota; Metazoa; Chordata; Crocodylia; Alligatoridae
Exons: 2
Source: RefSeq, a predicted model, not a curated record
CUAGCCUUGGAGCUGGGUUGUUUCUUGAUGAAACAGUCUGUAGGCAGGAAAAGUUAUUAAGAGGAAAGAAGUAUUUCCCUUUUCUGUUUGUUUGUUUUUCCUUCCAUAAAAUAUUCAGACCUUGCCUCUUCCUGCAAGACUCUAUGGACAAACUGAGAGCUGGUUGCCAGUAACACAAGAGUGAAACCGGUGCUGCUCAGAUAGGAAGAGAUUUUUAUUCAAACUGCUUAAAACUCCUGCUUUGUUGCUGCUUGUGCUCUACAUGCUUCACAUCUAACCAGAAAGGACUAGUUAAACCAAAGCAUGAAAAAGCCUCAAGACCUCUAAGAAGUCUUCCAGAACAAGCAGAGAAGAAACUCAAAACAUCAGGCAUCCAUCCCCCUAAGGUCACCUCCUGAGGCUGUGGGGGUAUACACACCAGCCAAAGGGAGACCAUGCACUAUGGAGCACUCCUGGUCCUACAGUGUGCUGAAUGAGUUCCAGAGGGAGCAUGGGCUACAGAAGGAAACCCCACAGACCAUGUCCAACCACAGGAAGAUACAGAAGGCAGUCAGAGACAGGCUAUUGACCAUGGACCUGCUCCCUAAAGACAACUGCCGUGCUGUCUGGGACCAGAUCUACCUACGUAAAGACCACAGAGACUUGAACCGGCUCAUAGCUCAUGGCAUACUCCCAGUGAAGGCAUAGAGGCACAGAGCAAGGCAAGAGACUAGGCCCAGCUACCCCAGGGAAAUCUGCCAAGGUGAGAACGAGACCAUUGACCACCUCCUGUGGUUCUGCCCCUAUGCCAAGGGACUGUGGGAAAAAGUUAGCUGGCUCCUUGAGGAAGUGACAGGAGUCAGGCUGAUGACAAGGGAGGAGGUGCUGUAUGGACAUGUGACCAAACAUCAGGGGCUCUAGACAGUUCACUUUGACCAGUUUGUCCCCUGCAUCAGGAGCACCGUCACAAUGCAGGAACCUCCUGUUAUACAGGCACAUUGAGCUCAAGGAAAUGGACUGUGUCAGAAUGUUUCUGAGUGAACUCCAGUCCUACUACUGGAAAGCGGUGGGAGAAGACAGAGAAGAUGCAGCCAGUUCCACCUGGAAAAGUAACAUUUGGCACAGGCUGUUCAAAGACCCCCUGGGAGGAGAAGUGAACAGGGAGAACAAAGAGGGCAACAAUGCAACUAGACCCGGAGACAGCGAGAAGAACAACAACAGGAUCAACAGCAGUGGAAGUGACAGCGACACCGACAGUGACAAGGACAGUGACUGAAUUGAGAAUGUUCACUGAGGACUAAGGGACAGUUUCUUCUGGGGAUCCAGAAUGAAGAAGGUGGCAAGUAAGACCCUAUACAAAAAGAAACAGGCUGGGGCAGGGGGAUGCCAGACAUCCAUCUGUUUCUGUGGGCAUGGUACACAAGUCAGAUCUGCAAGCUAGUGAUUGGGCCAGCAACCAAAACAGCAUGUCUUGUCAAUUAUUUUACAGGUCACCUUCUGAGCCUGUGGGGGGUGUACACACCAGCCAGAACUGAGGACUAAGGGACUAUGAUUGGGUUAGAGAAGGGUAGAGGGUAGGUGCGUGGUGGUGCAGGGGAGUGGAUGUAUUUAUUGUAAUGGGUGUGGAGGUUUCUUAAUAAGGUUUAAGAUGUGUGAUGGAAAGAUUAUGAUAGAGGAUGUAGACAUAUAUAUAUAUAAUUGCUUUUGUUUUUUCUUUUAAAAAAAUCUGCAUCUAUGAGAAGACCACAGAGACUUGAACAGGCUAAUAGCUCUCUGUGCACUCCCAGUGAAGGUGUGGAGGCACAGUGCGAGAUGAGAGACUAGCUCCAGCUACCCCAGGGAAAGCUGCCAAGAUUGGAGCGAGAUAAUCGACCACCUCCUAUGGCACUGCCCUGCCCCUAUGCCAAGGGAGUGUGGAAAAAGGUAAGUUGGCUCCUUGACAAAGUGACAGGAGCCAAACUGAUGACAAGGGAGGUGGCACUGUACAGAUACCUAACUAAACAUCAAGGGUCCCCGACAACCCACUUCGACUAGUUUGUGUCCUGUGUCAGAAGUGUGCCCUGUGGCAAUGCAGGAACCUACUGAUGUACAGACACACUGAUCUAAAGGACACAGACUAUGUUAAAAUGUUUCUAAGAGAACUCUUCCUACUACCAGAUGGGAAAAGACAGAGAAGACACAGCCAACUCCACCUGGAAAAUGGACACUUGGCACAGGCAGUCAAAGAACCCUCAGGAGGGGGAGCGAACAAGGAGAAUGAAGAGGACAAUGACACAAUUGUACCUGGAGACAAGGAAGACAGCAUCAGAAUCAGCAGAAGUGGAAGUGACAGUGACAGCGACAAGGACAGGGAAUGAACUGAGAAUGUAAACCCCAAAUCAGGGCUUGGACUAAAAGACUGUGAUUGGGUUAGGGAAGGGCAGCAGGUGGGUGUGCAGGGGUGUAGGGGAGUGGGUGCAUUUACGUAACAGGUGCACAGUUUCUUAAUGAGGUUUUAAGGUGUGUAAUGGAAAGUUUUAUGCUAUAUGAAGUGUGUGUGUGUGUGUGUGUGUAUGUGUGUGUGUGUGUGUGUGUGUGUAUUUGGUUGGUGGUUUUUUUGAAAUCUGUAACUAAUUGCAACAAAAUGUCCUCUUCACUGUCGCUGUCUAUUUCCCUACUGGGGGGAAUCUUGAAAGAUCCUGUGCCAAGUGUCCCUCUGCCAGACGGAUUUGGCUAGAUCCUCACUGUCCUCUGCUACCGAUUUCUGGUAGUAGGACUGGAGUUCAGUCAAAGCCAUUUUAACACAGCCUACCUCCUCGAGGUUCAUGUGUCUGUACAUCAGGAGUUUCCUGGACUUCCACAGGGCACUCCUGACACAGGACAUGAACUGAUUGAAGUAGGCCGAUUGGCUCCCCUAGUGUUUAGUCAAAUACCUGUACAGCACUGCCUCUCUUGACAGCUAUCUUUCCUCUGUCACUGCUUUGCAGAGCCACUUUUCCUUCUUCCACACCUCCUUGGCAUACGAGCAGAGCCAUAGGAGGUGAUCAGUAGUCUUUGUGGCUCCUUGGCAGGUUGCCCUCAGGCAGCUUGGUCUCCCCAGUUGUCCUUCUCUAUGUCUUCGGGCUUUCACUGGGAGGGCUCAGUGGGCUAUCACCCAGUUCAGGUCUCUGUGGUUUUUAUGCAGGUCCUUGUGGAAGAUGUGUUCCCACACAGCUUGGCAAGCAUCAUCCAGAAGCAGGUCCAUGGAUGACAUGAUGUCUCUGCUUCUCACUGCCUCCUGUAUCUUCUAGUGGUUGGCCAUGGUUGUGGGGUCUGCACUCUGUAGACUGUACAUGCUGUGCAACUUGUUCAGAGUCUCAUAGAACCACGGUUGGCCCAUGAGCCAUGGUCUUCCAUUGAUUGGUGUGAACACCCCCCAUUGUCUCAGGAGGUGCCUUGCAAAAUAUCUCACGAGACAGGCUGUUUUGGACUCUGUGCCCAUCGCCAAUUUACAGAAACGGGCAGCGACAGUGAAGAGGACAUCAAGACAACCAAAUCAGAAGACAGCUGUGCGGGCCGGGAGUGGUCUGAGGCCCUCGGGGGCAAGCGGCGGGCUGUGGCCAGCAGCCCUGGCACGCGGGUCGGGGAAUGCAGGCCGGUGGACUAGAAUUAGGCACAGACGCUUAGCGGUUGAUUAAAGAUUAUUUUACUUA